UGGGUGAGAGGUUUGGUCUUGUUUGC
Molecule: non-coding RNA, 26 nt
Filed under: Homo sapiens (human)
Lineage: Eukaryota; Metazoa; Chordata; Mammalia; Primates; Hominidae
Source: RNAcentral